GGAUGUGAAAGUGAUCUAGCUGCUUCUUCUGCCACCUGUGAUCUCUAGGUUGAUUGUGGUGAUCUGGCUAGAUAGACGUUUCCCCUUGUAUCUUUCUCUGCUGAAGCUGCCCCCGUGGCUAGAACCUCCAGAUAAGCUCUCAAAGUCCCUUUGUAAGAGAAUGUAUGAUACUAGCAAGUAAGGUGCUACAUGUUGCUAUCUGCCUACCUU
RNAcentral lists this small nuclear RNA (210 nucleotides) under Dipodomys ordii (Ord's kangaroo rat). Its description in RNAcentral is "7SK RNA". It matches the Rfam family "7SK RNA". Rfam says of the family: 7SK was discovered as an abundant small nuclear RNA in the mid-70s but a possible function has only recently been suggested. Two independent studies have found that 7SK RNA binds the CDK9/cyclin T complex (known as elongation factor P-TEFb). The record is from Rfam by way of RNAcentral. Lineage: Eukaryota; Metazoa; Chordata; Mammalia; Rodentia; Heteromyidae.